UCCGGUUCAUCACCAGCAGUCUCCUUAGAGUCCCCAACAUAACUUGAUGGUAACUAAGGAUAAGGGUUGCGCUCGUUACGGGACUUAACCCAACAUCUCACAACACGAGCUGACGACAGCCAUGCAGCACCUGUCUCAGAGUUCCUUUCGGCACUCUCGUAUCUCUACAAGAUUCUCUGGAUGUCAAGGGUAGGUAAGGUUCUUCGCGUUGCAUCGAAUUAAACCACAUGCUCCACCGCUUGUGCGGGUCCCCGUCAAUUCCUUUGAGUUUUAACCUUGCGGCCGUACUCCCCAGGCGGUCGACUUCACGCGUUAGCUUCGUUACUGAGAGUGUCAAACCCCCAACAACCAGUCGACAUCGUUUAGGGCGUGGACUAC
Molecule: unclassified non-coding RNA, 378 nt
Filed under: uncultured Gammaproteobacteria bacterium
Lineage: Bacteria; Pseudomonadati; Pseudomonadota; Gammaproteobacteria
Description: contains 16S-23S intergenic spacer region
Source: RNAcentral